ACGCUGGCGGCGUGCCUAAUACAUGCAAGUCGAACGAGAGCGACCGGUGCUUGCACUGGUCAAUCUAGUGGCGAACGGGUGAGUAACACGUGGGUAACCUGCCCAUCAGAGGGGGAUAACAUUCGGAAACGGAUGCUAAAACCGCAUAGGUCCUUUAACCGCAUGGUUGAAGGAGGAAAAGAGGCGCAAGCUUCUGCUGAUGGAUGGACCCGCGGUGCAUUAGCUAGUUGGUGAGGUAACGGCUCACCAAGGCCGUGAUGCAUAGCCGACCUGAGAGGGUGAUCGGCCACAUUGGGACUGAGACACGGCCCAAACUCCUACGGGAGGCAGCAGUAGGGAAUCUUCCGCAAUGGACGCAAGUCUGACGGAGCAACGCCGCGUGAGUGAAGAAGGUUUUCGGAUCGUAAAACUCUGUUGUUAGAGAAGAACAAGUGCUAGAGUAACUGUUAGCGCCUUGACGGUAUCUAACCAGAAAGCCACGGCUAACUACGUGCCAGCAGCCGCGGUAAUACGUAGGUGGCAAGCGUUGUCCGGAUUUAUUGGGCGUAAAGCGAGCGCAGGCGGUUCCUUAAGUCUGACGUGAAAGCCCCCGGCUCAACCGGGGAGGGUCAUUGGAAACUGGGGAACUUGAGUGCAGAAGAGGAGAGUGGAAUUCCAUGUGUAGCGGUGAAAUGCGUAGAUAUAUGGAGGAACACCAGUGGCGAAGGCGACUCUCUGGUCUGUAACUGACGCUGAGGCUCGAAAGCGUGGGUAGCAAACAGGAUUAGAUACCCUGGUAGUCCACGCCGUAAACGAUGAGUGCUAAGUGUUGGAGGGUUUCCGCCCUUCAGUGCUGCAGUUAACGCAUUAAGCACUCCGCCUGGGGAGUACGACCGCAAGGUUGAAACUCAAAGGAAUUUGACGGGGACCC
Molecule: ribosomal RNA, 910 nt
Filed under: uncultured bacterium
Lineage: Bacteria
Description: bacterial SSU rRNA
Rfam family: Bacterial small subunit ribosomal RNA
Source: RNAcentral